Molecule: ribosomal RNA, 507 nt
Filed under: Bacillus sp. (in: firmicutes)
Lineage: Bacteria; Bacillati; Bacillota; Bacilli; Caryophanales; Bacillaceae
Description: bacterial SSU rRNA
Rfam family: Bacterial small subunit ribosomal RNA
Source: RNAcentral
UAGAGUUUUKRACCUGGCUCAGGAUGAACGCUGGCGGCGUGCCUAAUACAUGCAAGUCGAGCGAACUGAUUAGAAGCUUGCUUCUAUGACGUUAGCGGCGGACGGGUGAGUAACACGUGGGCAACCUGCCUGUAAGACUGGGAUAACUUCGGGAAACCGAAGCUAAUACCGGAUAGGAUCUUCUCCUUCAUGGGAGAUGAUUGAAAGAUGGUUUCGGCUAUCACUUACAGAUGGGCCCGCGGUGCAUUAGCUAGUUGGUGAGGUAACGGCUCACCAAGGCAACGAUGCAUAGCCGACCUGAGAGGGUGAUCGGCCACACUGGGACUGAGACACGGCCCAGACUCCUACGGGAGGCAGCAGUAGGGAAUCUUCCGCAAUGGACGAAAGUCUGACGGAGCAACGCCGCGUGAGUGAUGAAGGCUUUCGGGUCGUAAAACUCUGUUGUUAGGGAAGAACAAGUACGAGAGUAACUGCUCGUACCUUGACGGUACCUACCAGAAGCACGAU